This 915-nucleotide ribosomal RNA is filed under the name Pseudomonas entomophila. RNAcentral describes it as "bacterial SSU rRNA". It matches the Rfam family "Bacterial small subunit ribosomal RNA", at positions 64 to 983 of the family's 1533-position model. The record is from RNAcentral. Lineage: Bacteria; Pseudomonadati; Pseudomonadota; Gammaproteobacteria; Pseudomonadales; Pseudomonadaceae.
GAGAGGAGGACGGGACCUUGCUCUUGUAUUCAACGGCGGACGGGUGAGUAAUGCCUAGGAAUCUGCCUGGUAGUGGGGGACAACGUUUCGAAAGGAACGCUAAUACCGCAUACGUCCUACGGGAGAAAGCAGGGGACCUUCGGGCCUUGCGCUAUCAGAUGAGCCUAGGUCGGAUUAGCUAGUAGGUGAGGUAAUGGCUCACCUAGGCGACGAUCCGUAACUGGUCUGAGAGGAUGAUCAGUCACACUGGAACUGAGACACGGUCCAGACUCCUACGGGAGGCAGCAGUGGGGAAUAUUGGACAAUGGGCGAAAGCCUGAUCCAGCCAUGCCGCGUGUGUGAAGAAGGUCUUCGGAUUGUAAAGCACUUUAAGUUGGGAGGAAGGGCAGUAAGCUAAUACCUUGCUGUUUUGACGUUACCGACAGAAUAAGCACCGGCUAACUCUGUGCCAGCAGCCGCGGUAAUACAGAGGGUGCAAGCGUUAAUCGGAAUUACUGGGCGUAAAGCGCGCGUAGGUGGUUCGUUAAGUUGGAUGUGAAAGCCCCGGGCUCAACCUGGGAACUGCAUCCAAAACUGGCGAGCUAGAGUAUGGUAGAGGGUGGUGGAAUUUCCUGUGUAGCGGUGAAAUGCGUAUAUAUAGAAAGGAACACCGUGGCGAAAGCGACCACCUGGACUGAUACUUGACACUGAGUGCAAAACGUGGAACAACAGGAUUAGUACCCUGGUAUCCACCCCGUAAACGAUGUCAACUAGCCCGUUGAAUCCUUGGAUUUAGUGGCGCAUCUAACCCAUAAGUUUACCGCCUGUGGAAUUCCGCCGCGACGCUUAAAACUCAAAAGAAUUGGCAGAGGCCCCGCAAGCCGUGAGACACUGUCGUUUACUUCUAACCAACCCCCACCACCGUACCAGGCGUUG